RNAcentral lists this ribosomal RNA (578 nucleotides) under uncultured Actinomycetes bacterium. Its description in RNAcentral is "bacterial SSU rRNA". It matches the Rfam family "Bacterial small subunit ribosomal RNA", at positions 295 to 883 of the family's 1533-position model. Lineage: Bacteria; Bacillati; Actinomycetota; Actinomycetes. The record is from RNAcentral.
AGAGGGUGACCGGCCACACUGGGACUGAGACACGGCCCAGACUCCUACGGGAGGCAGCAGUGGGGAAUAUUGCACAAUGGGCGCAAGCCUGAUGCAGCAACGCCGCGUGAGGGACGACGGCCUUCGGGUUGUAAACCUCUUUUAGUAGGGAAGAAGCGAAAGUGACGGUACCUGCAGAAAAAGCACCGGCUAACUACGUGCCAGCAGCCGCGGUAAUACGUAGGGUGCAAGCGUUGUCCGGAAUUAUUGGGCGUAAAGAGCUCGUAGGCGGUCUGUCGCGUCUGCUGUGAAAACCCGAGGCUCAACCUCGGGCCUGCAGUGGGUACGGGCAGACUAGAGUGCGGUAGGGGAGAUUGGAAUUCCUGGUGUAGCGGUGGAAUGCGCAGAUAUCAGGAGGAACACCGAUGGCGAAGGCAGAUCUCUGGGCCGUAACUGACGCUGAGGAGCGAAAGCGUGGGGAGCGAACAGGAUUAGAUACCCUGGUAGUCCACGCCGUAAACGUUGGGCGCUAGAUGUGGGGACCAUUCCACGGUUUCCGUGUCGCAGCUAACGCAUUAAGCGCCCCGCCUGGGGAGUAC